Molecule: ribosomal RNA, 490 nt
Filed under: uncultured bacterium
Lineage: Bacteria
Description: bacterial SSU rRNA
Rfam family: Bacterial small subunit ribosomal RNA
Source: RNAcentral
GAUGAACGCUAGCGGCAGGCUUAAUACAUGCAAGUUGAGGGGCAGCAUGAUAUACGCGAGUAUAUUGAUGGCGACCGGCGGACGGGUGAGUAAUAGGUAGGAGACCUACCUCAUACAGGGGGAUAGCAUAGAGAAAUCUGUGGUAAUACCCCAUGAGGUUAUAUGAAUAGAGGCAUAUAAUCAAAGCAUAAGCGAUUAUGCGGUAUGAGAGGGGCCUACUGACCAUUAGCUAGUUGGUGAGGCAAGGGCUCACCAAGGCGAAGAUGGUUAGGGGUUUUGAGAGAGAGACCCCCCACAUUGGAACUGAGAGACGGUCCAGACUCCUACGGGAGGCAGCAGUAGGGAAUAUUGGGCAAUGGGCGAAAGCCUGACCCAGCCAUGCCGCGUGAAGGAAGACGGCCUUAUGGGUUGUAAACUUCUUUACUACGCGAAUAGAGGUUAGUACGAGAUACUAAUAGGAAGGUAGUGUAAGUAAAAGCACCGGCUAACU